Molecule: ribosomal RNA, 496 nt
Filed under: uncultured bacterium
Lineage: Bacteria
Description: partial 16S ribosomal RNA
Rfam family: Bacterial small subunit ribosomal RNA
Source: RNAcentral
GAUGAACGCUGGCGGCGUGCCUAAUACAUGCAAGUCGAGCGAACAGAUGAGGAGCUUGCUCCUCUGACGUUAGCGGCGGACGGGUGAGUAACACGUGGAUAACCUACCUAUAAGACUGGGAUAACUUCGGGAAACCGGAGCUAAUACCGGAUAAUAUAUUGAACCGCAUGGUUCAAUAGUGAAAGACGGUUUUGCUGUCACUUAUAGAUGGAUCCGCGCCGCAUUAGCUAGUUGGUAAGGUAACGGCUUACCAAGGCAACGAUGCGUAGCCGACCUGAGGGGGGGAUGGGCCACACAGGAAGUGAGACACGGCCCAGAGACCGAGGGGAGGCAGAAGUAGGGAAUGUACGGAAAAGGGCGAAAGCCUGACGGAGCAACGCCGCGCGAGUGAUGAAGGUCUGCGGAUCGGAAAACUGUGUUAUGAGGGAAGAACAAAUGUGUAAGUAACGAUGCACGUCUGGACGGUACCUAAACAGAAAGCCACGGCUAACUACGG